RNAcentral lists this ribosomal RNA (378 nucleotides) under Triticum aestivum (bread wheat). Its description in RNAcentral is "partial small subunit ribosomal RNA". Lineage: Eukaryota; Viridiplantae; Streptophyta; Magnoliopsida; Poales; Poaceae. The record is from RNAcentral.
AUGGAUGAGCAAGAGGAGCAAAGUAUAGUCGAUAUGACAGAAUCAGAUGCAUCAGACGGCAUGCUGAUCGAUGGCCUGAGAACAUUUUUACAGAAAAGACAAGAGAGGAAGCAGGAGAGGAGUGCUUUGAAAGAGAAAAGGAAGAAGAGGACAAGGCCAGAGAAAGGAAAAGCCAAAGGGCACAUGAACAAAGGAAGAGCAACUGCAUACAGCAGGUUUAGCAUUGGAUAUUUCGCGAAGAUUGUUGAUGUUGUGUGCCAAAGCAAUCAUAGGAUGGAGGUUGUGAGGAACGGCGGUUUUGGAUACUUGCUCGAGCUAGAAGAUUGCUAUGUUCCAAGGCCUUUUGCUCGAAUGGAAGAGGCAGGAAGAAGAGAAUGA